Molecule: ribosomal RNA, 460 nt
Filed under: uncultured bacterium
Lineage: Bacteria
Description: partial 16S ribosomal RNA
Rfam family: Bacterial small subunit ribosomal RNA
Source: RNAcentral
CCUACGGGAGGCAGCAGUGAGGAAUAUUGGUCAAUGGGCGCGAGCCUGAACCAGCCAAGUCGCGUGAGGGAUGAAGGUUCUCUGGAUCGUAAACCUCUUUUAUAAGGGAAUAAAGUGUGGGACGUGUCCUAUUUUCUAUGUACCUUAUGAAUAGGGAUCGGCGAACUCCGUGCCAGCAGCCGCGGUAAUACGGAGGAUCCGAGCGUUAUCCGGAUUUAUUGGGUUUAAAGGGUGUGUAGGCGGGCUUUUAAGUCAGCGGUGAAAGGCUGGGGCGCAACCAUUGAAUUGCCGUUGAAACUGGGGGGCUUGAGUAUGUUAGAGGCAGGCGGAAUGCGUGGUGUAGCGGUGAAAUGCUUAGAGAUCAAGAAGAACCCCGAUUGCGAAGGCAGCCUGCCAGGCCAUGACUGACGCUGAUGCACGAAAGCGUGGGGAUCAAACAGGAUUAGAUACCCUGGUAGUC